GAUGAACGCUGGCGGCGUGCCUAAUACAUGCAAGUCGAGCGAACAGACGAGGAGCUUGCUCCUCUGACGUUAGCGGCGGACGGGUGAGUAACACGUGGAUAACCUACCUAUAAGACUGGGAUAACUUCGGGAAACCGGAGCUAAUACCGGAUAAUAUAUUGAACCGCAUGGUUCAAUAGUGAAAGACGGUUUUGCUGUCACUUAUAGAUGGAUCCGCGCCGCAUUAGCUAGUUGGUAAGGUAACGGCUUACCAAGGCAACGAUGCGUAGCCGACCUGAGAGGGUGAUCGGCCACACUGGAACUGAGACACGGGCCAGACUCCUACGGGAGGCAGCAGUAGGGAAUCUUCCGCAAUGGGCGAAAGCCUGACGGAGCAACGCCGCGUGAGUGAUGAAGGUCUUCGGAUCGUAAAACUCUGUUAUUAGGGAAGAACAAAUGUGUAAGUAACUAUGCACGUCUUGACGGUACCUAAUCAGAAAGCCACGGCUAACUACGUG
RNAcentral lists this ribosomal RNA (497 nucleotides) under uncultured bacterium. RNAcentral describes it as "partial 16S ribosomal RNA". It matches the Rfam family "Bacterial small subunit ribosomal RNA", at positions 28 to 507 of the family's 1533-position model. The record is from RNAcentral.